AUACAGAUUAUCAUACCUACACUGGAGUCUCCACAUCGCUGUUUGAAUACCAGGUUUUUGUGUAUUAAAAAAAAAUGAGACCAAGAUAAAGCAUUUCAAGACAUUUUCCACCUUUAUCUACAACCUUUACAACUCAAUUGAAAAACAAACUGAAAUCUGUAAAGGGGAAAAUACAAAAAUAUGUAUAAUAACCUGGUUGCAAUCUACACUCCCUUAAACAGUUUUUUCUUGUCGCAAAUUUUCUGCUCGCUCUGCUUGCUUCGCCUUUGUUUAGAUUUUUCUUGAUGAUAAGCUUGUUUUUCUUCCAAAGAAAUUAGAAGAAGCGACUCCUGGAUAUUUUUAAACUUGUGGGAUUGUACUUUUUUUCUGUAGAUACAGUCAGUUGUUGCCAUAUUCCAAUAUUUUUUUAUACCCCCUUACGAUUACGUGAGCGUGGGCUGCUAAUUAGCACAAGCCUGUUAUUAGCUACGAGACCAGCAACAAGAUGCCCCCUUUUUCCACUGAAUACUAUCACAAACAGCUACAGAAGAUGGCGGUCCUGGAAACGAAUAUCCACCGUCUUGAAGUUAAUGUGGAUGUAAAUGGACAGUCUUUGAGUGAAACCAUUCUACCGAUGUCUCAAAAUGGUGAGCCGAAGCGUGCUAAUAGACAGCCACUUAGCUCAGCAAAGAGGAUGGAUGUGGACUGUGCAAACAGUAAUGGAUCAUCCAGCAAUUCUCCUUGGAAUCUACUGGGAGCAAAGCCGAAAGAUACGGGACAACAUCUAAAAGGGAGGACACAAAACCAGCAGAUUAGCGAGAAAUCCGGCUGGCCUGCAUUGUGUGCUUCUUCAACCCCGAGAGAGCGCCCGUGGACGGUCACUACAACGAAGGGCAAGAAAAGAGUAUGCCAAUCGAUGCAAAACAAUGACAUCAGACUUACAAAUAGAUCUGAGCCACUUUUACAAGACCCUGGCAAAGAAUGCUCAUCCUCCACCACCACUGAAAGGAGUGCAGACAUCUUUACAAGGCAGACGGUUUCUGUCUAAAUAGACAAGGGGUUAAGUUAUUGGCUGCCAACAUUUUUACUGUGUACGUCAUUCAGCGGCUCGAAAGGAAAACAUUGGCCUUGUUGACACGGCUGAAGGACAAAAAGCGCAGGAGUCUGCAGUUAUUCCCAAACAAUCGGAGGAACAAGAGAUAAGGCGACACGAGGCGCAGAUGGAGUCACCAGCGUCACCCAAACAAUCAGAGGAACGAAUGAGGAAUGAGAUGAGGGAGCACUUGGACUCCCCUACACCCUCCCUGCCCCACUGGACCAAAGCCCAACGCAAAACUCACUCUCUACUAGCCUAAAUGCCCUGUUAGGUGUGACGGACAGGAUGAAGGCUAUUGUGUAUAUUGGAAUCCAGCGCACACCACGCCAAGAUCUUCCUCCCACCCCCCUCGCCUGAAACAACCAUCCAUGAAGAUGCGAAGGGCCCCUCCUCCACCCAUGAAAAAUCUUAUCUGCAAAUCUGACUGACAUCUACAGGGUCUUUUCCAGAAUAAGUCAGACCCCUAUGGAGAGCAGGCAUUUUUCAUCCCUGAAAUUACAAGGGACAGAAAAUUGGUCAAAGAAAUAUGGCAAAAAAAAAAAGUAGAACUACAAACGUAGUGAAGAUAAAAUGUGAAUCUAUCAAACCAUUGUCUCUAGUGAUCUCUGUGAGACUAGCUCUAUUCAAUAUCAGGUCACUGGGUAACAAAUCAAUGUUGAUUAAUGACAUUACAACCUAUGAUCUAGACCAGUGAUUCCCAACCACUGUGCCGGGGCACAUUAGUGUGCUGUGAGGGCUAUUCAGGUGUGCUGUGGGAAAUUAUAAAAUUUUACUUAAUUGCACAGAAAAUUAUUUAUUUCCAAGAAAUAAUGUAUCUUUAUUCAUC
Long non-coding RNA from Phyllopteryx taeniolatus (common seadragon), 1901 nucleotides. RefSeq lists it as uncharacterized. The transcript is spliced from 2 exons. The record is from RefSeq and is a predicted model, not a curated record. Lineage: Eukaryota; Metazoa; Chordata; Actinopteri; Syngnathiformes; Syngnathidae.